GAACCUUACCAGCUCUUGACAUGUCACGUAUGAAUUCCGGAGACGGAUUUCUUCAGUUCGGCUGGCGUGAACACAGGUGCUGCAUGGCUGUCGUCAGCUCGUGUCGUGAGAUGUUGGGUUAAGUCCCGCAACGAGCGCAACCCUCGCCUCUAGUUGCCAUCAUUAAGUUGGGCACUCUAGAGGGACUGCCGGUGAUAAGCCGAGAGGAAGGUGGGGAUGACGUCAAGUCCUCAUGGCCCUUACGGGCUGGGCUACACACGUGCUACAAUGGCGGUGACAGUGGGCAGCUACUUCGCGAGGAGAAGCUAAUCCCAAAAAGCCGUCUCAGUUCGGAUUGCACUCUGCAACUCGAGUGCAUGAAGUUGGAAUCGCUAGUAAUCGUGGAUCAGCAUGCCACGGUGAAUACGUUCCCGGGCCUUGUACGCACCGCCCGUCACACCAUGGGAGUUGGUUUUACCCGAAGGCGCUGCGCUAACCCGCAAGGGAGGCAGGCGACCG
RNAcentral lists this ribosomal RNA (498 nucleotides) under uncultured maize root bacterium Zmrc109. Its description in RNAcentral is "bacterial SSU rRNA". It matches the Rfam family "Bacterial small subunit ribosomal RNA", at positions 966 to 1459 of the family's 1533-position model. The record is from RNAcentral.